UACAGAGGUCGCAAGCGUUGUUCGGAUUCACUGGGCGUAAAGGGUGCGUAGGCGGUCGGGUAAGUCUGAUGUGAAAUCUCACAGCUUAACUGUGAAACUGCAUUGGAUACUAUUCGGCUAGAGAGUUGGAGGGGGGACUGGAAUUCUUGGUGUAGCAGUGAAAUGCGUAGAUGUCAAGAGGAACACCAGUGGCGAAGGCGAGUCCCUGGACAGCUUCUGACGCUGAGGCACGAAAGCUAGGGGAGCAAACAGG
This 253-nucleotide ribosomal RNA is filed under the name uncultured bacterium. Its description in RNAcentral is "partial 16S ribosomal RNA". It matches the Rfam family "Bacterial small subunit ribosomal RNA", at positions 524 to 776 of the family's 1533-position model. The record is from RNAcentral.